Drosophila elegans is the source of this 1389-nucleotide RNA transcript. It is a transcript of the gene named serendipity locus protein beta, with no coding region annotated. NCBI's taxonomy places the organism in Eukaryota, Metazoa, Arthropoda, Insecta, Diptera, Drosophilidae. The record is from RefSeq and is a predicted model, not a curated record. The transcript has 3 exons.
UGAUUUACAACCAACACCAAUGCAACUUUGCGUUUACAACAAAAUAUACACAAAUUAAAUUGUUAAAGCCGAUUUUUUUCGAAUUGAAAGCGACGAGAUGAGCUCAACGCGCCCGUUUUGCUUCGUUUGCGGCAAGGAGAAGUCCGUGGGCGUUUUCCAGUUAAUAGAAGGCUGCAUAGUGCCAGGAACGUUUAAGCCGAUAAAGGAUAUCCUAAAAUACUUCGAGAAGAUCAUCAACCAGCGCUUGGAUCUCGCGCCCAACUCGGCUGCCUGCCGGGAUUGCCUGGAAUAUCUGUUCAACUACGACAGGCUGGUGCGGAAUCUCAGCCAGGUGCAGCGCCAAAUUGCGGAUGCAUUGUUGGGCUGCCGGCAGGUGGAGGGCAAACCGGAGCAAACCAAGCAGCAGGCGGGGAAGAGGGCCAAAGUCCAGGUGCCGGCCUUCACGAUUAUCCAUGCCACCUCGCUAAAGGAGCCCGCGCCGCAGCCCUCGAAGCAGGAAACAGAGGAGGAGGAGGAAUUUAUGAAGGAGGAGAUGCUGGACGAGGACUUCCGGUUCAGCGAGCCGGAUGACAGCAUGCCCUCCUCCGAGGAGGAGUUCUUCACCGAAACAACCGAGAUACCCUGCCACAUCUGCGGCGAGAUGUUCUCCAGCCAGGAGGUUCUCGAGCGGCAUAUCAAGGCGGACAACUGCCAGAAAAACGAGCAUGCCACCUGCAAUGUGUGCGGCCUGAAGGUCAAGGACGACGAGGUCCUAGAUCUGCACAUGAACCUGCACGAAGGCAAGACCGAACUGGAGUGCCGCUACUGCGAAAAGAAGUUCUCCCACAAGCGGAAUGUCCUGCGCCACAUGGAAGUGCACUGGGACAAGAAGAAGUACCAGUGCGACAAGUGUGGCGAGCGCUUCUCGCUCUCUUGGCUCAUGUACAACCAUCUAAUGCGCCACGACGCCGAGGAGAACGCUCUGAUCUGCGAGGUGUGCCAUCAGCAGUUCAAGACCAAGCGCACCUACAAGCACCACUUGCGCACCCACCAAACGGAUAGGCCACGCUAUCCCUGUCCCGAUUGCGAGAAGUCCUUCGUGGACAAGUACACGCUGAAGGUGCACAAGCGAGUCCACCAGCCGGUCGAGAAACAGGACGCGGCGGAGGCCAAGGAAGCCACCACAGCGUUCUUUUAGGGUAGUCCUUUGCUAGUUUAAUCUAAGUAGCCCAGCUUAUGGGUACAUAAGUGCGCGAAUCCAACCAGGUAAAAUCGCGUAUUUUGGCGGAAUUCGCGGAUUUAUGAAGGCUGAGGUAAUAAAACAGGCAGAUGUCUUCUAAACCAGCAAAAGAUAUCCUUUCUACCUGUUAGUUUUGCCUAUUUAAAGGCAUUCGACCGCUUGCUUAGUGC